GAUGAACGCUGGCGGCGUGCCUAAUACAUGCAAGUCGAGCGAACGGACGAGAAGCUUGCUUCUCUGAUGUUAGCGGCGGACGGGUGAGUAACACGUGGAUAACCUACCUAUAAGACUGGGAUAACUUCGGGAAACCGGAGCUAAUACCGGAUAAUAUUUUGAACCGCAUGGUUCAAAAGUGAAAGACGGUCUUGCUGUCACUUAUAGAUGGAUCCGCGCUGCAUUAGCUAGUUGGUAAGGUAACGGCUUACCAAGGCAACGAUGCAUAGCCGACCUGAGAGGGUUGACGGCCACACUGGAACUGAGACACGGGCCAGACUCCUACGGGGGGCAGCAGUAGGGAAUCUUCCGGAAUGGGCGAAAGCCUGACGGAGCAACGCCGCGGGAGUGAUGAAGGUCUUCGGAUCGUAAAACUCUGUUAUUAGGGAAGAACAUAUGUGUAAGUAACUGUGCACAUCUUGACGGUACCUAAUCAGAAAGCCACGGCUAACUACGUG
RNAcentral lists this ribosomal RNA (497 nucleotides) under uncultured bacterium. RNAcentral's name for it is "partial 16S ribosomal RNA". It matches the Rfam family "Bacterial small subunit ribosomal RNA", at positions 28 to 507 of the family's 1533-position model. The record is from RNAcentral.